Molecule: long non-coding RNA, 497 nt
Filed under: Homo sapiens (human)
Lineage: Eukaryota; Metazoa; Chordata; Mammalia; Primates; Hominidae
Description: PREDICTED lncRNA (TCONS_00214278)
Source: RNAcentral
AGAACAGUUAUGCUGGUGGCCUUGAACUGACCCAGUUCUCUCUUUUUUGCUUGUAGUUCUCAAAAAUAACUAGAAUAUUCUGUGAAUGCAACAUCCAGUGAUAAGGAGCGACUGGCUGGAACAGCCUGGGCUCUGUUCCAGUCCCCCCUAGAAACAGGAUGUCCUUCAACACUUUAGCCCAGCAUGUCAUGUUACCCCUGGGGUAUAAAGCCCAGGGUGGGCUGCUAUCCAGGGUCCCUCAGCUGCGGCGCAAGUGGAGUAUGUACAAACAAAGCUUCAUCUACCUUGGUAACUUUCCUGAGCCUUGGAAGACCAGCUCAACAUGAAUCCUAGGCUUCUGCUGUCCUUUGCUGUCUUUCUUCCUCAGCCCACUCUUCAAUCAAUCAAAUCAGUGAAGAUUUAUGGAACAUUUGCCAUGUACCAGGCACUGCUUCAGAGGCUGGAGAUACAAAACUGAACAAGAGCAACACAAUCUCUGGUCUCAUGGAAUUUUCAAC